GGUAAAAUGGCUGAUUUUUAGGCGAUAAAUUGUAAAUUUAUUUAAGAGUAGAUUUCUUUUACUA
This 64-nucleotide transfer RNA is filed under the name Rhipicentor nuttalli. Its description in RNAcentral is "tRNA-Tyr". The record is from RNAcentral. Lineage: Eukaryota; Metazoa; Arthropoda; Arachnida; Ixodida; Ixodidae.